Molecule: ribosomal RNA, 491 nt
Filed under: uncultured bacterium
Lineage: Bacteria
Description: partial 16S ribosomal RNA
Rfam family: Bacterial small subunit ribosomal RNA
Source: RNAcentral
GAUGAACGCUAGCGAUAGGCUUAACACAUGCAAGUCGAGGGGUAACGUGUUGGAAGCUUGCUUCCGAUGACGACGACCGGCGGAUGGGUGCGUAACGCGUAUGCAACUUGCCUCACAGUGGAGAAUAACCCGGAGAAAUCCGGACUAAUACUCCAUACACUCUUAAGUACGCCUGUACAUGAGAGGAAAGAUUUAUCGCUGUGAGAUAGGCAUGCGUCCUAUUAGGUAGUUGGUGAGGUAACGGCUCACCCAGCCGACGAUAGGUAGGGGUGCUGAGAGGCAGAUCCCCCACAUUGGGACUGAGACACGGCCCAAACUCCUACGGGAGGCAGCAGUGAGGAAUAUUGGUCAAUGGAGGAAACUCUGAACCAGCCAAGUCGCGUGAAGGAAGAAUGUCCUAAGGAUUGUAAACUUCUUUAGCGAGCGAGUAAGGACUUCCACGUGAUGGGAGUUUGAAAGUAGCUCGAGAAUAAGUAUCGGCUAACUCCGUG